GACGAACGCUGGCGGCGUGCUUAACACAUGCAAGUCGAACGGAGUGGCGAACGGGUGAGUAACACGUGGGUGACCUGCCCUGCACUUCGGGAUAAGCCUGGGAAAGUGGUUCUAAUACCGGAGAGUGUGGGGUGGGCGAUCGGCCUAUCAGCUUGUUGGGGGGGUAAAGGCCUACCAAGGGGGCGACGGGUAGCCGGACUGAGAGGGUGGACGGCCACAUUGGGCCUGAGACACGGCACAGACUCGUACGGGAGGCAGCAGUGGGGAAUAUUGCACAAUGGGUGGAAGCCGGAUGCAGAGACGUCGCGUGGGGGAUGACUGCCGUCGGGUUGUAAACGCCUUUCACCAUCACCGCGGUAGAUGGAGAAGAAGCACCGGCUAACUACGUGCCAGCAGCCGCGGUAAUAC
RNAcentral lists this ribosomal RNA (408 nucleotides) under uncultured bacterium. RNAcentral describes it as "partial 16S ribosomal RNA". It matches the Rfam family "Bacterial small subunit ribosomal RNA", at positions 28 to 526 of the family's 1533-position model. The record is from RNAcentral.